CACGUAGGGGGCGAGCGUUGUCCGGAUUUAUUGGGCGUAAAGAGCUCGUAGGCGGCUCAGUAAGUCAGGUGUGAAAACUCCAGGCUCAACCUGGAGACGCCACCUGAUACUGCUGUGGCUAGAGUCCGGUAGGGGAGCAUGGAAUUCCUGGUGUAGCGGUGAAAUGCGCAGAUAUCAGGAGGAACACCAGUGGCGAAGGCGGUGCUCUGGGCCGGAACUGACGCUGAGGAGCGAAAGCGUGGGGAGCGAUUCGG
RNAcentral lists this ribosomal RNA (254 nucleotides) under uncultured bacterium. RNAcentral's name for it is "partial 16S ribosomal RNA". It matches the Rfam family "Bacterial small subunit ribosomal RNA", at positions 524 to 776 of the family's 1533-position model. The record is from RNAcentral.